This 468-nucleotide ribosomal RNA is filed under the name uncultured bacterium. RNAcentral describes it as "partial 16S ribosomal RNA". It matches the Rfam family "Bacterial small subunit ribosomal RNA", at positions 28 to 507 of the family's 1533-position model. The record is from RNAcentral.
GAUGAACGCUGGCGGCGUGCUUAACACAUGCAAGUCGAACGGAAAGGCCCUGCUUUUGUGGGGUGCGCGAGUGGCGAACGGGUGAGUAACACGUGAGUAACCUGCCCUUGACUUGGGGCUGACUUCAGGAAACUGGGGCUAAUACCGGAAAGGAGCUCCUGCUGCAUGGUGGGGGUUGGAAAGUGGCGGCGGUUGGGGUUGGACUCGCGGCUUAUCAGCUGGUUGGUGGGGUAGUGGCUUACCAAGGAUUUGACGGGUAGCCGGCGGGGGAGGGGGACCGGCCACCAAGGUGGGGAGAGAGCGCCGGCCCGGCUACGGGGGGCAGCAGGGGGGAAGAAUUUUCCGGGAAGGGGAGAAUGCUGGAGGAGCGACGGGUGGGGGAGGGAGGACUACUGGUGGUAGGGAACUUCCUUUUCUGGGGAAGGAGGAGUGACGGUAUCUGAGGAAGAAGCACCGGCUAACUACGUG